RNAcentral lists this ribosomal RNA (440 nucleotides) under uncultured bacterium. RNAcentral's name for it is "partial 16S ribosomal RNA". It matches the Rfam family "Bacterial small subunit ribosomal RNA", at positions 338 to 795 of the family's 1533-position model. The record is from RNAcentral.
CCUACGGGAGGCAGCAGUGGGGAAUAUUGCACAAUGGGGGAAACCCUGAUGCAGCGACGCCGCAUGAGUGAAGAAGUAAUUCGUUAUGUAAAGCUCUAUCAGCAGGGAAGAAAAUGACGGUACCUGAGUAAGAAGCCCCGGCUAACUACGUGCCAGCAGCCGCGGUAAUACGUAGGGGGCAAGCGUUAUCCGGAUUUACUGGGUGGAAAGGGAGCGUAGACGGCAGUGCAAGACUGGAGUGAAAGGCGGGGGCUCAACCCCCGGACUGCUCUGGAAACUGUACGGCUGGAGUGCAGGAGAGGUAAGUGGAAUUCCUAGUGUAGCGGUGAAAUGCGUAGAUAUUAGGAGGAACACCAGUGGCGAAGGCGGCUUACUGGACUGCGACUGACGUUGAGGCCCGAAAGCGUGGGGAGCAAACAGGAUUAGAUACCCUGGUAGUC